GCUCCACAAACAGUUAUUAAUGAGAAAAUGGUCUAAAAUGGUUUAAACGUGAAGACAACCUAGGGAAAAAAAAUGUAUACAAAUCCCCACAAAGCAAACAUGGACGCGUUCUAUUCGGGGGCUUGCGGGCAUCUUGCAAGGCGUUUAAAAGCCUGCACAGGACAAUGGGGGCAGUGGGUUCGGCAAUUUAGCACAGAAGAAAACAACUUCUCCUCCCUGGAAAGCAAAGCAACCAAGAAGCCUCGGACACUGUCGCUCUGCCUCACCCGACCUCUCCGCCUCCGCACUGACCGUGUCACGGCCUGGCCGAAGACGGCGCCCUCAGCUCUGCAGAACAGCGCCGCAGACCUUGUCAGAGGACAAGACGCCAAGAGCACACAGCUAUGCCCGCACCACGCCCGGCGGCCAUCUUCCUAGGAGUCAGGAACUGACAGGUCACGUGGUCGUGUGGUGGGCGGUGCUCCUUGUGGCCACGCCUCCUGGAGGGGGCAGUGUGGGAGGAGUUGCAGGUGCUGAAGUGGCUUGGACGCCCUUCCCUCUAUUUUAAAGGAAUGGAAACAUUGCUUCUUUGCCUGGUUUGGCUUCAGAUGGUUUGGGUUGGGUUAGGUUGGGUUGGGUUGGGUUGGUUUUGAUACAGAGUCAAAGUCGCCCAAGCAGGCUUCAAACUUGCUAUGUAGCCAAGAAUGACCUUUACGCUCCCGAUCCUCCUGCCUCCACCUCCCAGCUGACCCAGCUAAAUUAGUGUAUUUUUCACAGGUGCCCCAGGCAAUAUUUUUCCCUGUCAUUCGCGCUUUUGAAAGUUAAUUUAUAACCCGUACCUGGCAUUAUAAGCAAUAAUUCAGAGAAAUAAACAACAAUUACAACUUUGGAAGCCAUUGCCCACUUUGCAAAUGAAAGUCGCUUAGUUCCUCCUUCCAGGGUCCAGAAGUCCGAAAUCUGCCUUCUCCAUCAUCGGAAGAAUGCACUGCCUCCGCAGACGUCCAUACUGCCUCCUUCCAGCUGAGGACCCCCCGCCCCAACCCCCCAAGGCCCUUCCAGACUUUGCUCUUCCCACCUCUGCAGAAGUAUCACCAAAUGCUAUUAACUGAUCCCUGACCACCAUCAGCAACCCCAUCCUGGCAAUAUUCCCUUCAAAGGGCCUCCUGACACCCAUUUCCUAGUCUUCUUCCAGGCAUGGUACUCCUUCCCAGGUUCCACCUACCUUAAUUAAUUCAGAGUUCCAGAGUUCUGCCCACGGUCAGUCUCAUCCCCAAUAUGGCCGAUAUUAUAGGCUCCCUCCUGAUCCAUCUCCGGAAGUGAGUGGGACCCCCACAGGAAGUGGAAAGUUAUCUCACAUAUCACCCCAUACUGUCUAAGCAGUUCCUGUGUUAAUCACUCAGAUCUAUUUUAAACCUUUUACUCCCCCAUGGGCUGCCGACUCUCUCAACUCCUCUCCCUACCCAGAACUCUUCUUAUCUGUCAGGACACUAAGCACUUCUCAGUUAAACUCUUCAGUACUGCCCCCCCCAUCCGUGGAGCCCGUUCCCCACAGCACCUGGGAGUGAGGCUCUUGGAAGGCGUGCCCUCACAGACCUUGCCCUGUUCUGCCUGCCUUCCCCUUCAAACCCUGCCAGGGCAAACUGGCCAGUAUUUUCUGCUAAUAGACACACUGGGCUUCGUGGUACACACCUUUGCCCUCAGCACUCAGAAGCAGAGGCAGGGGGAAUCUCUGUGAGUUAGAGGCUGGCUGCAUAGUGAAACCCUGUCUCAAGAGGAGGAGGAAGAAGAAGAAGAUGAAGAAGAGGAAGGAAGGAGAGAAGGGAGGGAAGGGGAGGGAGAAUGUUAUCAAGGGGUGAGAGAGGUCACUGAAAAGAUCUCACUGAAGAGAAAUAGCUGCAGAAAUGUAGUUCCUGUGCCCUUGGGGGCUACCCCCAGGGGCUCAGCUCACAUUUGAGAAAGAUUGGCUGAAGGUUCCUGGCCCUAGCCUUCCAACUCAUUUCUCAUGCAAGUCUCCCAGACCCUCCUUCAUGUACCUUUAACUUGUGCAGAGGGACAAGUAGAUUAAUGGGAUGACUUCCACAAGCCAGGAAGCUGGCUUUAGACAGGACCAGGCUCAUGCUUUCCUACACAGAGCUCUCUGCCUCCAGCGGGGAAACCAGAAUGAGGGGCAAGCACAUCCCACUGAUUGCCUUUGGUCUCAGACACAAGCCCAGCUCGGCGACCUACCUUUCUUCCCAUCAUUGAAACCAAAUCCCUGCAGACAUUCAGGGAGCACACCAUUCUUCCCUAGGGCUGAUCUGGAAAGCACUGUGGUUAGGAACUGCAGGUUAGGGUACCAGGAUGCAGAGUGGGCUCAGUGAGGAGAGGCAAGGGAGGCUGGGAACACAUUCCAACAAUUAUAAAGCCAGCCCCUGCCCUGCCAUGGACCAGACAGGUCUGAACAGGAAUUGGGGUAAAACUCUCAGACCUUUUCCUUUUAAUUAUAGGGAUAAGGCAUUCCUUCCAUAAAAUAAAUUUUUUAAUUAUUUAAGAAUGACUAGAUAACAUUUUAUAAAAGUGAUUUUUAGAAGCAUUCAAAAUGUUGUGGGGAUUGGGAGAGAUAAGAAGGCAGUGUUUGCAGGGCAGUCCUAGGUGAAGCAGGGUUAAUCUACACGUUUCUAUCCUCUACCUCCUGCCUCUGAACGGUUACUCUGAUUCAGGGGAAAGUUUCAUUUUGAUAACAAGGAUUUGCCAGCCCCUGGUCCCUUCCACGCUAUGGACCCUCAUACCCAGUCUUGCAAUCGAACUACUGCAGAACUAAGGUUUCCUCCUCAGUUUUGUCUCAAAGACAUGCCUCUUCCCUUGCUCUCUGGUCUUUCUCUGGUUCAUGUAGCCUGCCUAGAUCUUUCCAAGAGACACACCCAGUGGGGUUGAUUCUGGAAUCACUCAACAACCCAAGACUCUGAAUCAGCGGCUUUGAGAGUCUGGCUUACCUUCUUGUCAUGUGUUUUUAUGGAGAAGGAAAAAUAGGCAUUAUCUUUCCACUCCUUGCCACUCUCUCCAACAAGGCUGUAAUUUGAUCGCCCUCGGGUCCUUUUUCCAUAGCAUCAGCACCUGGCCUGAUGACUUCAACGGUCUAAUCUUUCUCUGUGGCUUCAGUUUCAUUGUCUAGCAUAUUUUCCACAGAAAUCUCAACAUGUUUUAUACACUA
Molecule: long non-coding RNA, 3169 nt
Organism: Mus musculus (house mouse)
Lineage: Eukaryota; Metazoa; Chordata; Mammalia; Rodentia; Muridae
Product: predicted gene, 36236
Exons: 2
Source: RefSeq, a predicted model, not a curated record